This 274-nucleotide ribosomal RNA is filed under the name uncultured bacterium. Its description in RNAcentral is "partial 16S ribosomal RNA". It matches the Rfam family "Bacterial small subunit ribosomal RNA", at positions 523 to 796 of the family's 1533-position model. The record is from RNAcentral.
AUACAGAGGGUGCAAGCGUUAAUCGGAAUUACUGGGCGUAAAGCGCACGUAGGUGGUUCAUUAAGUCAGAUGUGAAAGCCCCGGGCUCAACCUGGGAACUGCAUUUGAAACUGGUGAGCUAGAGUAUGGUAGAGGUAAGUGGAAUUCCAGGUGUAGCGGUGAAAUGCGUAGAUAUCUGGAGGAACAUCAGUGGCGAAGGCGACUUACUGGACCAAUACUGACACUGAGGUGCGAAAGCGUGGGGAGCGAACGGGAUUAGAAACCCCAGUAGUCC